CCUGGCUCAGGAUGAACGCUGGCGGCGUGCUUAACACAUGCAAGUCGAACGGGGCGACCCCCAAACGGAGUUUUCGGACGAACUGCGGGGAAGUGCCUAGUGGCGGACGGGUGAGUAACGCGUGAGCAACUGCUUGGAUGGGAUAACAGAUGGAACAUCUGCUAAUACCGCAUGAUGCAGUUGGGCCACAUGGCUCUGACUGCCAAAGAUUUAUCGCUCUGAGAUGGGCUCGCGUCUGAUUAGCUAGUUGGCGGGGUAACGGCCCACCAAGGCGACGAUCAGUAGCCGGACUGAGAGGUUGGCCGGCCACAUUGGGACUGAGACACGGCCCAGACUCCUACGGGAGGCAGCAGUGGGGAAUAUUGGGCAAUGGGCGCAAGCCUGACCCAGCAACGCCGCGUGAAGGAAGAAGGCUUUCGAGUUGUAAACUUCUUUUCUCAGGGAUGAACAGAUGACGGUACCUGAGGAAUAAGCCACGGCUAACUACGUG
Molecule: ribosomal RNA, 490 nt
Filed under: uncultured Oscillospiraceae bacterium
Lineage: Bacteria; Bacillati; Bacillota; Clostridia; Eubacteriales; Oscillospiraceae
Description: bacterial SSU rRNA
Rfam family: Bacterial small subunit ribosomal RNA
Source: RNAcentral